Molecule: ribosomal RNA, 484 nt
Filed under: uncultured bacterium
Lineage: Bacteria
Description: partial 16S ribosomal RNA
Rfam family: Bacterial small subunit ribosomal RNA
Source: RNAcentral
AUUGAACGCUGGCGGCAGGCCUAACACAUGCAAGUCGAGCGGAUGAAGGGAGCUUGCUCCUGGAUUUAGCGGCGGACGGGUGAGUAAUGCCUAGGAAUCUGCCUGGUAGUGGGGGAUAACGUCCGGAAACGGGCGCUAAUACCGCAUACGUCCUGAGGGAGAAAGUGGGGGAUCUUCGGACCUCACGCUAUCAGAUGAGCCUAGGUCGGAUUAGCUAGUUGGUGGGGUAAAGGCCUACCAAGGCGACGAUCCGUAACUGGUCUGAGAGGAUGAUCAGUCACACUGGAACUGAGACACGGUCCAGACUCCUACGGGAGGCAGCAGUGGGGAAUAUUGGACAAUGGGCGAAAGCCUGAUCCAGCCGUGCCGCGUGUGUGAAGAAGGUCUUCGGAUUGUAAAGCACUUUAAGUUGGGAGGAAGGGCAGUAAGUUAAUACCUUGCUGGUUUGACGUUACCAACAGAAUAAGCACCGGCUAACUUCGUG